This 272-nucleotide ribosomal RNA is filed under the name uncultured Desulfocapsa sp. RNAcentral describes it as "partial 16S ribosomal RNA". It matches the Rfam family "Bacterial small subunit ribosomal RNA", at positions 1113 to 1382 of the family's 1533-position model. Lineage: Bacteria; Pseudomonadati; Thermodesulfobacteriota; Desulfobulbia; Desulfobulbales; Desulfocapsaceae. The record is from RNAcentral.
AGUUGCCAUCAUUGAGUUGGGCACUCUAAAGAGACUGACCGGGUGGUCAAACCGGAGGAAGGUGGGGAUGACGUCAAGUCCUCAUGGCCUUUAUGACCAGGGCUACACACGUACUACGAUGGCCGGUACAAAGGGCAGCGACACAGCGAUGUGAAGCGAAAUCCCGAAAAGCCGGUCUCAGUCCGGAUUGGAGUCUGCAACUCGACUCCAUGAAGUUGGAAUCGCUAGUAAUCGCGGAUCAGCACGCCGCGGUGAAUACGUUCCCGGGCCUU